Molecule: ribosomal RNA, 492 nt
Filed under: uncultured bacterium
Lineage: Bacteria
Description: partial 16S ribosomal RNA
Rfam family: Bacterial small subunit ribosomal RNA
Source: RNAcentral
AGUGAACGCUGGCGGUAGGCCUAACACAUGCAAGUCGAACGGCAGCACAGUAAGAGCUUGCUCUUACGGGUGGCGAGUGGCGGACGGGUGAGGAAUACAUCGGAAUCUACUUUUUCGUGGGGGAUAACGUAGGGAAACUUACGCUAAUACCGCAUACGACCUACGGGUGAAAGCAGGGGAUCUUCGGACCUUGCGCGAUUGAAUGAGCCGAUGUCGGAUUAGCUAGUUGGCGGGGUAAAGGCCCACCAAGGCGACGAUCCGUAGCUGGUCUGAGAGGAUGAUCAGCCACACUGGAACUGAGACACGGUCCAGACUCCUACGGGAGGCAGCAGUGGGGAAUAUUGGACAAUGGGCGCAAGCCUGAUCCAGCCAUACCGCGUGGGUGAAGAAGGCCUUCGGGUUGUAAAGCCCUUUUGUUGGGAAAGAAAUCCAGCCGGCUAAUAUCUGGUUGGGAUGACGGUACCCAAAGAAUAAGCACCGGCUAACUUCGUG